Molecule: ribosomal RNA, 416 nt
Filed under: uncultured bacterium
Lineage: Bacteria
Description: bacterial SSU rRNA
Rfam family: Bacterial small subunit ribosomal RNA
Source: RNAcentral
UGGGGAAUAUUGCACAAUGGGGGAAACCCUGAUGCAGCAACGCCGCGUGAAGGAAGACGGUUUUCGGAUUGUAAACUUCUGUUCUUAGUGAAGAAUAAUGACGGUAGCUAAGGAGCAAGCCACGGCUAACUACGUGCCAGCAGCCGCGGUAAUACGUAGGUGGCAAGCGUUGUCCGGAAUUACUGGGUGUAAAGGGAGCGCAGGCGGGAGACCAAGUCAGCUGUGAAAACUACGGGCUUAACCUGUAGACUGCAGUUGAAACUGGUUUUCUUGAGUGAAGUAGAGGUUGGCGGAAUUCCGAGUGUAGCGGUGAAAUGCGUAGAUAUUCGGAGGAGCACCGGUGGCGAAGGCGGCCAACUGGGCUUUAACUGACGCUGAGGCUCGAAAGUGUGGGGAGCAAACAGGAUUAGAUACCC